RNAcentral lists this transfer RNA (77 nucleotides) under Acidimicrobiales bacterium. RNAcentral describes it as "tRNA-Pro". It matches the Rfam family "tRNA". Rfam says of the family: Transfer RNA (tRNA) molecules are approximately 80 nucleotides in length. Their secondary structure includes four short double-helical elements and three loops (D, anti-codon, and T loops). The record is from RNAcentral. Lineage: Bacteria; Bacillati; Actinomycetota; Acidimicrobiia; Acidimicrobiales. RNAcentral also lists the same sequence under 3 other names.
CGGGGCGUGGCGCAGCUUGGUAGCGCACCUGAAUGGGGUUCAGGAGGUCGAGCGUUCGAAUCGCUCCGCCCCGACCA